UACGAGGGGGGCGAGCGUUGUUCGGAAUUAUUGGGCGUAAAGGGCGCGUAGGCGGUCGGAUAAGUCUUGUGUGAAAUCUUCGGGCUCAACUCGAAGUCUGCACAGGAAACUAUCUGGCUUGAGUGUGGGAGAGGUGAGUGGAAUUCCUGGUGUAGCGGUGAAAUGCGUAGAUAUCAGGAGGAACACCUGUGGCGAAAGCGGCUCACUGGGCCACAACUGACGCUGAGGCGCGAAAGCUAGGGGAGCAAACAGG
This 253-nucleotide ribosomal RNA is filed under the name uncultured bacterium. RNAcentral's name for it is "partial 16S ribosomal RNA". It matches the Rfam family "Bacterial small subunit ribosomal RNA", at positions 524 to 776 of the family's 1533-position model. The record is from RNAcentral.